Molecule: ribosomal RNA, 448 nt
Filed under: uncultured Alphaproteobacteria bacterium
Lineage: Bacteria; Pseudomonadati; Pseudomonadota; Alphaproteobacteria
Description: bacterial SSU rRNA
Rfam family: Bacterial small subunit ribosomal RNA
Source: RNAcentral
GAGUUUGAUCCUGGCUCAGAAUCAACGCUGGCGGCAGGCUUAACACAUGCAAGUCGAACGCGCCCUUCGGGGCGAGUGGCAGACGGGUGAGUAACGCGUGGGAACCUACCUGGUGGUGCGGAAUAACCCGGGGAAACCCGGGCUAAUACCGCAUACGCCCUCGGGGCUUCGGCCUUGGGGGGAAAGAUUCAUCGCCAUUGGAUGGGCCCGCGUCGGAUUAGCUUGUUGGUGUGGUAACGGCGCACCAAGGCGACGAUCCGUAGCUGGUCUGAGAGGAUGAUCAGCCACACUGGGACUGAGACACGGCCCAGACUCCUACGGGAGGCAGCAGUGGGGAAUAUUGGACAAUGGGGGCAACCCUGAUCCAGCCAUGCCGCGUGAGUGAAGAAGGCCUUAGGGUUGUAAAUCUCUUUCGGCGGGGAAGAUAAUGACGGUACCCGCAGAAGAA